This 600-nucleotide long non-coding RNA is filed under the name Sarcophilus harrisii (Tasmanian devil). RNAcentral's name for it is "lncRNA (ENSSHAG00000025996.1)". The record is from RNAcentral. Lineage: Eukaryota; Metazoa; Chordata; Mammalia; Dasyuromorphia; Dasyuridae.
CCAGAAUGGAGAAAACUGUACCACUCCAUAAUAUCUCACAAGCUGUUCCUCAUCAACAUGACUUCAAUCAUCCAUGAUUUCACUAACAUGGAUAGUUCCUGUAUCAUCACAGUCGCAGAAGCUCCUUACUUUAGAUGAUCUUUGUAAGUGCUGAAGCUGAUCCAGUUGUCAUCAUACCCUGGCUACCUUUGAUGAUGAGUUUCUUCAAACUCAGUGAGGUUUCUGCAUAGAGAACACAUCCAUGAUCACAGAAGAGAGUAAAUGUUGAGUCCUUGGAAGGAUAAUGCAAAGGAUGCUGCCAGAAGGCACAGCUUACAUCCUUUAGAAUCAUUUUUAUUCCAGCUAUCUGGUGAAGGAAUUCAGUGCACGCAAAUCCCCUCCCCAUUAUAAUAGCUUAAUAACACAGGUCAAUUUGUUCCUAAAUUUCUUCAUUUAGUGGAGAUCAGUUUAAAUAUACAAGAAUUGUUUUGUCCUUUUCCAUCUGACAUGACGAUGGUGUCCACCUGCAAAGUUCAUUACGUUUCAUUGUAGUGUCCUAUAUUCCUUUGGGGAUGUGUAGCAUUUGAUUCACAGUUUGCAAUACAAAUACCCUGAUACAUC